This 468-nucleotide ribosomal RNA is filed under the name uncultured bacterium. RNAcentral describes it as "partial 16S ribosomal RNA". It matches the Rfam family "Bacterial small subunit ribosomal RNA", at positions 28 to 507 of the family's 1533-position model. The record is from RNAcentral.
GACGAACGCUGGCGGCGUGCUUAACACAUGCAAGUCGAACGGAAAGGCCCUGCUUUUGUGGGGUGCUCGAGUGGCGAACGGGUGAGUAACACGUGAGUAACCUGCCCUUGACUUUGGGAUAACUUCAGGAAACUGGGGCUAAUACUGGAUAGGAGCUCCUGCUGCAUGGUGGGGGUUGGAAAGUUUCGGCGGUUGGGGAUGGACUCGCGGCUUAUCAGCUUGUUGGUGGGGUAGUGGCUUACCAAGGCUUUGACGGGUAGCCGGCCUGAGAGGGGGACCGGCCACAUUGGGACUGAGAUACGGCCCAGACUCCUACGGGAGGCAGCAGUGGGGAAUAUUGCACAAUGGGCGGAAGCCUGAUGCAGCAACGCCGCGUGCGGGAUGACGGCCUUCGGGUUGUAAACCGCUUUCGCCUGUGACGAAGCGUGAGUGACGGUAAUGGGUAAAGAAGCACCGGCUAACUACGUG